GUGGGUACACUUAGAGCCCCGUACGGCUCGUGUUAAUAGUGCUGUCUUUGGCCGGGCAGCAUGGUUAGGACAAGC
This 75-nucleotide non-coding RNA is filed under the name unclassified sequences. The record is from Rfam.